GAUGAACGCUGGCGGCGUGCCUAAUACAUGCAAGUCGAGCGAACAUAUGAGGAGCUUGCUCCUCUGACGUUAGCGGCGGACGGGUUAGUAACACGUGGAUAACCUACCUAUAAGACUGGGAUAACUUCGGGAAACCGGAGCUAAUACCGGAUAAUAUAUUGAACCGCAUGUUUCAAUAGUUAAAGACGGUUUUUCUUUCACUUAUAGAUGGAUCCGCGCCGCAUUAGCUAGUUGGUAAGGUAACGGCUUACCAAGGCAACGAUGCGUAGCCGACCUGAGAGGGUGAUCGGACACACGGGAACUGAGACACGGUCCAGACUCCUACGGGAGGCAGCAGUAGGGAAUCUUCCGCAAUGGGCGAAAGCCUGACGGAGCAACGCCGCGUGAGUGAUGAAGGUCUUCGGAUCGUAAAACUCUGUUAUUAGGGAAGAACAAAUGUGUAAGUAACUAUGCACGUCUUGACGGUACCUAAUCAGAAAGCCACGGCUAACUACGUG
RNAcentral lists this ribosomal RNA (497 nucleotides) under uncultured bacterium. Its description in RNAcentral is "partial 16S ribosomal RNA". It matches the Rfam family "Bacterial small subunit ribosomal RNA", at positions 28 to 507 of the family's 1533-position model. The record is from RNAcentral.